This 468-nucleotide ribosomal RNA is filed under the name uncultured bacterium. RNAcentral's name for it is "partial 16S ribosomal RNA". It matches the Rfam family "Bacterial small subunit ribosomal RNA", at positions 28 to 507 of the family's 1533-position model. The record is from RNAcentral.
GACGAACGCUGGCGGCGUGCUUAACACAUGCAAGUCGAACGGAAAGGCCCUGCUUUUGUGGGGUGCUCGAGUGGCGAACGGGUGAGUAACACGUGAGUAACCUGCCCUUGACUUUGGGAUAACUUCAGGAAACUGGGGCUAAUACCGGAUAGGAGCUCCUGCUGCAUGGUGGGGGUUGGAAAGUUUCGGCGGUUGGGGAUGGACUCGCGGCUUAUCAGCUUGUUGGUGGGGUAGUGGCUUACCAAGGCUUUGACGGGUAGCCGGCCUGAGAGGGUGGCCGGCCACAUUGGGACUGAGGUACGGCCCAGACUCCUACGGGAGGCAGCAGUGGGGAAUAUUGCACAAUGGGAGGAAGCCUGAUGCAGCAACGCCGCGUGCGGGAUGACGGCCUUCGGGUUGUAAACCGCUUUCGCCUGUGACGAAGCGUGAGUGACGGUAAUGGGUAAAGAAGCACCGGCUAACUACGUG